RNAcentral lists this ribosomal RNA (186 nucleotides) under uncultured eukaryote. RNAcentral describes it as "partial 18S ribosomal RNA". It matches the Rfam family "Eukaryotic small subunit ribosomal RNA", at positions 1299 to 1458 of the family's 1831-position model. The record is from RNAcentral.
UGGUGGAGUGAUUUGUCUGGUUAAUUCCGAUAACGAACGAGACUCUGUCCUGCUAACUAGGUUGUGUUUUCUCGGGUUGGUGUUUCUGGUGUUCCUUCUCGGGGCGCCGGCCCAAUCCACUUGUGAACACAACACUCUUCUUAGAAGGACUGGCGGCUGUUAGCCGCACGAGAUAGAGCAAUAACA